Micropterus salmoides (largemouth bass) is the source of this 432-nucleotide long non-coding RNA. RefSeq lists it as uncharacterized. The transcript is spliced from 3 exons. The record is from RefSeq and is a predicted model, not a curated record. NCBI's taxonomy places the organism in Eukaryota, Metazoa, Chordata, Actinopteri, Centrarchiformes, Centrarchidae.
UGCUGUUCUCUGAUGUCAGCCUCCUUCAGUUUCUUCUCCACGUCCUCGGGAAUCUCCAACUCCAUCAGGUUCUCCAUCCCCUGCUCUGGCUCAUCUCCUAUCAGCACCUGGAGAGAGAGUAGAUGGACGGAUAGACGCCAUAGAUAUUGGCAGAGGCAAAGAGACAGAAGAGGAGGUUGACAGAGAAAGCUAACAAGAGAAAAAGAGAGUGACCAAGCAAGAGGCUGCCUGGAUGUUGGAUAGUGGAUAAAACGCCACAAGACUGGCGCCGGGCUGGCAUCUUUCGGUUGAACCAGUUUACAUAACACCAGCUGCCUACCAGGAGAGAUGGACUAUUCUGGUGCAAAAUGAGAAUAACAAUUUUUCCACCCAGCCAAAACCUCUUCCCAUCCCCGGUAAAGCUUCUAGAUCCACCACUGGGACCCACCUUGA